This 571-nucleotide long non-coding RNA is filed under the name Populus trichocarpa (black cottonwood). Its description in RNAcentral is "long non-coding RNA (PTRI_LNC002395)". The record is from RNAcentral. Lineage: Eukaryota; Viridiplantae; Streptophyta; Magnoliopsida; Malpighiales; Salicaceae.
AUAAUCUAUUCUUCUCUCUUUUUUUUCUUCUUUCCCAUUAUUCAAUGUCCUGGAAAAGACCACCACCCCUAUUCAGUCCAGAGCAUUAGGACCAGAACAUGCCUUCAACUCAGGGCUCCAGAUCCAUUGCACCAAGAACUUUCUACCUCUUCUGCCAUUCAUAUUAAAAGUCUUACCUUGCGUAUCCCUCAUAACCUGCCCUGUAUACCCACCACCACCACCUGUCCCAUACAACCCUUCACACAAGUCCCCUAUCUCAGUUGGUGCUGUUGGAUCCUCCCCAGCAUACCAAGCAUUCACUAAAGGAUUUGAAGACAAUUCUGCGAGCUCAUGGCCUAUAACACUAAUCAUCCCAUCCACGCCCACAUCCCCAUUUGGUGACUUCAAGGCUCCUGGCCCCCCUCCACCCAUGUAACCAGGGACUGCAAAAGGGUAAGCGCAUACUUCGGGACAUUGUUUGCCUGAGUUACCAACCCAAGCAUAAGGCAGUGUGUAGCCAACCAUUGAUGGAAAUGUAAAAUAAUGAAAUCCACACACCGCCCUACAAAAGUCUUGCAUAGUCACAUCUUGU